RNAcentral lists this unclassified non-coding RNA (21 nucleotides) under Chlamydomonas reinhardtii. RNAcentral describes it as "small RNA Cre_2857". Lineage: Eukaryota; Viridiplantae; Chlorophyta; Chlorophyceae; Chlamydomonadales; Chlamydomonadaceae. The record is from RNAcentral.
UGAAUGCGUGCAGUGCGGUAU